This 497-nucleotide ribosomal RNA is filed under the name uncultured bacterium. RNAcentral describes it as "partial 16S ribosomal RNA". It matches the Rfam family "Bacterial small subunit ribosomal RNA", at positions 28 to 507 of the family's 1533-position model. The record is from RNAcentral.
GAUGAACGCUGGCGGCGUGACUAAUACAUGCAAGUCGAGCGAACAGACGAGGAGCUUGCUCCUCUGACGUUAGCGGCGGACGGGUGAGUAACACGUGGAUAACCUACCUAUAAGACUGGGAUAACUUCGGGAAACCGGAGCUAAUACCGGAUAAUAUAUUGAACCGCAUGGUUCAAUAGUGAAAGACGGUUUUGCUGUCACUUAUAGAUGGAUCCGCGCCGCAUUAGCUAGUUGGUAAGGUAACGGCUUACCAAGGCAACGAUGCGUAGCCGACCUGAGAGGGUGAUCGGCCACACUGGAACUGAGACACGGUCCAGACUCCUACGGGAGGCAGCAGUAGGGAAUCUUCCGCAAUGGGCGAAAGCCUGACGGAGCAACGCCGCGUGAGUGAUGAAGGUCUUCGGAUCGUAAAACUCUGUUAUUAGGGAAGAACAAAUGUGUAAGUAACUAUGCACGUCUUGACGGUACCUAAUCAGAAAGCCACGGCUAACUACGUG